GUUUGGAACAACAUGAGGGUAAGUUAUUAAUGACAUAAUUUUGCUAUUUGGGCGAACCAUCCAUUUAAUAUUAAAUUAAUAAUUGUUAAAAAGUAAAAUUAGUAAGCUUUGCACAUGAAACAAAGACUGCAUUAAAGAAAAGACUGCACAAAAGCUUCUUCCUGCUUUGGCAAUGGGCUUUACUUCUGCAGAAGUAGUAAACACAUUGGCUUUUGAUUUUUGGUAAGAAAAAACAUUAUUUUUUACCACAAUUUAUUAAUUCUUAGUCCAGGUAAAAUACUGUUGUCUGCAUAACCAUGUUUUGACAUUUGUCACCAUCACAGGAUGUGCAGACAUAAAAGUCAUCGAGGCAAGAAAACCAGCCGAUCAGUGCGAGGUGCGUCUCUCUUCAAGAGAUCAAAACUCAGCUUGUCAUCUUGGCUAACAUUCAUUUACAGGUUCGCGCAGGGAUUGCAGAUAAGACAAAUUGAUAUGAUGCAAGAUGGCAUUGCAAAAAGUUCGAGAACCCUCUCUGGGUUUGCUCGUAUCAUGAGGAAAGUUUGCCACUGUGCCAUAAAAUGAUUCAGACGAAGACAUGGACAAAUGAUUGGAAGUGCUCGAGAAUUUGAUGUUCUUGAUGAAAGUAACUUUCGUCAUAAACGAAAGUAUGGACGAGGGAGAGCAUCAACAACAUGA
Molecule: long non-coding RNA, 675 nt
Organism: Carassius carassius (crucian carp)
Lineage: Eukaryota; Metazoa; Chordata; Actinopteri; Cypriniformes; Cyprinidae
Exons: 3
Source: RefSeq, a predicted model, not a curated record